Molecule: ribosomal RNA, 253 nt
Filed under: uncultured bacterium
Lineage: Bacteria
Description: partial 16S ribosomal RNA
Rfam family: Bacterial small subunit ribosomal RNA
Source: RNAcentral
UACGUAGGAUGCAAGCGUUAUCCGGAUUUAUUGGGCGUAAAGGGUGCGUAGGUGGAUUGGUAAGUUUGCUGUUAAAGAUUGGGGCUCAACCCUGAAACUGCAGUGGAUACUGUUAGACUAGAGUAUGGAAGAGGUUAGCGGAAUUCCUAGUGUAGCGGUGAAAUGCGUAGAUAUUAGGAAGAACACCGGUGGCGAAGGCGGCUAACUGGGGUAUGACUGACGCUGAGGAACGAAAGUUUGGGUAGCGAAUGGG